RNAcentral lists this ribosomal RNA (770 nucleotides) under Psychroflexus sp. M6M-3. Its description in RNAcentral is "bacterial SSU rRNA". It matches the Rfam family "Bacterial small subunit ribosomal RNA", at positions 62 to 831 of the family's 1533-position model. Lineage: Bacteria; Pseudomonadati; Bacteroidota; Flavobacteriia; Flavobacteriales; Flavobacteriaceae. The record is from RNAcentral.
UCGAGGGGUAACAGGGUUUUCGGACUGCUGACGACCGGCGCACGGGUGAGUAACGCGUAUACAAUCUGCCUAUUACUAAGAGAUAGCCCAGAGAAAUUUGGAUUAAUAUUUUAUGGCAUUACGACUUGGCAUCGAGUUGUAAUUAAAGGUUACGGUAAUAGAUGAGUAUGCGUCCUAUUAGCUUGAUGGUAAGGUAACGGCUUACCAUGGCUACGAUAGGUAGGGGUCCUGAGAGGGAGAUCCCCCACACUGGUACUGAGACACGGACCAGACUCCUACGGGAGGCAGCAGUGAGGAAUAUUGGACAAUGGGAGCAAUCCUGAUCCAGCCAUGCCGCGUGCAGGAAGACUGCCCUAUGGGUUGUAAACUGCUUUUAUACAGGAAGAAAAAGCCCGACGUGUCGGGUGUUGACGGUACUGUAAGAAUAAGGAUCGGCUAACUCCGUGCCAGCAGCCGCGGUAAUACGGAGGAUCCAAGCGUUAUCCGGAAUCAUUGGGUUUAAAGGGUCCGUAGGCGGGACAAUAAGUCAGUGGUGAAAGUCUGCAGCUCAACUGUAGAAUUGCCAUUGAUACUGUUGUUCUUGAGUGCUUGUGAAGUGGUUAGAAUGAGUAGUGUAGCGGUGAAAUGCAUAGAUAUUACUCAGAAUACCGAUUGCGAAGGCAGAUCACUAACAAUUCACUGACGCUGAUGGACGAAAGCGUAGGUAGCGAACAGGAUUAGAUACCCUGGUAGUCUACGCCGUAAACGAUGGUUACUAGCUGUUCGGACCA